GAUGAACGCUAGCGAUAGGCUUAACACAUGCAAGUCGAGGGGCAGCACAAGGUAGCUUGCUAUCUGGGUGGCGACCGGCGCACGGGUGCGUAACGCGUAUGCAACUUGCCCUAUACAGGAGGAUAACCCGUCGAAAGACGGACUAAUACUGCGUAUGCUCACAACUUGGCAUCCAGUGGUGAGGAAAGAAAUUCGGUAUAGGAUAGGCAUGCGUCCCAUUAGCUUGUUGGUGAGGUAACGGCCCACCAAGGCAACGAUGGGUAGGGGAACUGAGAGGUUUCUCCCCCACACUGGUACUGAGACCCGGACCAGACCCGUACGGGAGGGAGCAGUGAGGAAUAUUGGUCAAUGGGCGCGAGCCUGACCCAGCCAAGUCGCGUGAAGGAUGACUGUCUUAUGGAUUGUAAACUUCUUUUAUACGGGAAUAACAAGAGUCACGUGUGACUCCCUGCAUGUACCGUAUGAAUAAGCAUCGGCUAACUCCGUG
Molecule: ribosomal RNA, 487 nt
Filed under: uncultured bacterium
Lineage: Bacteria
Description: partial 16S ribosomal RNA
Rfam family: Bacterial small subunit ribosomal RNA
Source: RNAcentral